AUUGAACGCUGGCGGCAGGCCUAACACAUGCAAGUCGAGCGGAUGAAGGGAGCUUGCUCCUGGAUUCAGCGGCGGACGGGUGAGUAAUGCCUAGGAAUCUGCCUGGUAGUGGGGGAUAACGUCCGGAAACGGGCGCUAAUACCGCAUACGUCCUGAGGGAGAAAGUGGGGGAUCUUCGGACCUCACGCUAUCAGAUGAGCCUAGGUCGGAUUAGCUAGUUGGUGGGGUAAAGGCCUACCAAGGCGACGAUCCGUAACUGGUCUGAGAGGAUGAUCAGUCAUACUGGAACUGAGACACGGUCCAGACUCCUACGGGAGGCAGCAGUGGGGAAUAUUGGACAAAGGGCGAAAGCCUGAUCCAGCCAUGCCGCGUGUGUGAAGAAGGUCUUCGGAUUGUAAAGCACUUUAAGUUGGGAGGAAGGGCAGUAAGUUAAUACCUUGCUGUUUUGACGUUACCAACAGAAUAAGCACCGGCUAACUUCGUG
RNAcentral lists this ribosomal RNA (484 nucleotides) under uncultured bacterium. RNAcentral describes it as "partial 16S ribosomal RNA". It matches the Rfam family "Bacterial small subunit ribosomal RNA", at positions 30 to 507 of the family's 1533-position model. The record is from RNAcentral.